AGGGUAGUGGCGCAAUUGGUAGCGCAUCGGUCUCCAAAACCGACGGUUGGGGGUUCGAGUCCCUCCUACCCUGC
Molecule: transfer RNA, 74 nt
Filed under: Actinobaculum suis
Lineage: Bacteria; Bacillati; Actinomycetota; Actinomycetes; Actinomycetales; Actinomycetaceae
Also listed under: 1 other name
Description: tRNA-Trp(cca)
Rfam family: tRNA
About the family: Transfer RNA (tRNA) molecules are approximately 80 nucleotides in length. Their secondary structure includes four short double-helical elements and three loops (D, anti-codon, and T loops). Further hydrogen bonds mediate the characteristic L-shaped molecular structure. tRNAs have two regions of fundamental functional importance: the anti-codon, which is responsible for specific mRNA codon recognition, and the 3' end, to which the tRNAs corresponding amino acid is attached (by aminoacyl-tRNA synthetases). tRNAs cope with the degeneracy of the genetic code in two manners: having more than one tRNA (with a specific anti-codon) for a particular amino acid; and 'wobble' base-pairing, i.e. permitting non-standard base-pairing at the 3rd anti-codon position.
Source: RNAcentral